Molecule: ribosomal RNA, 253 nt
Filed under: uncultured bacterium
Lineage: Bacteria
Description: partial 16S ribosomal RNA
Rfam family: Bacterial small subunit ribosomal RNA
Source: RNAcentral
UACGUAGGGUGCGAGCGUUAAUCGGAAUUACUGGGCGUAAAGCGUGCGCAGGCGGUUUUGUAAGCCAGAUGUGAAAUCCCCGGGCUCAACCUGGGAAUGGCAUUUGUGACUGCACGGCUGGAGUGCGGCAGAGGGGGAUGGAAUUCCGCGUGUAGCAGUGAAAUGCGUAGAUAUGCGGAGGAACACCGAUGGCGAAGGCAAUCCCCUGGGCCUGCACUGACGCUCAUGCACGAAAGCGUGGGGAGCAAACAGG